This is a long non-coding RNA of Lontra canadensis (Northern American river otter), 1093 nucleotides long. RefSeq lists it as uncharacterized. Lineage: Eukaryota; Metazoa; Chordata; Mammalia; Carnivora; Mustelidae. The record is from RefSeq and is a predicted model, not a curated record. The transcript has 4 exons.
GGUUCCUCCAAGUGGGGUGCACUACAGUUCUGCAACCAACAGGGUGAACCCAGAAACCAGGCAAGGGAAAUCCCCACUGCAGACAUCCCAUGGAGUCUUGGAGAAAGAAGCCUCCAGGGGGCUCUGGCCGUGUUAGAGUUGAAAGUGUAAACCCUCAAAUGAGGCAGCCUUGGAGGGAGACCCCUGGAAAGGGAGCAUCUUGCUUCCCAGAGCCAGAGUGAGGGGAAUGAGUAUCUGGGCAUAAAACAGCUCACAGGUCUAAGAGUUGUCUAUUCAUAUAUCGUCUUUAUCUACAUAAGGUUUUCUCUUCGCUGAUUGGAUAUCUUUCCAUAAACUUGCAUUUAGAGCACUGAUUGACUUUCCAGCCCCAGCCUAUCUGGAGAAGAUACUCCCGGGGAAUGGGAGAGAAGAUAAUAAACCUGAGAGCCGCAUGGAACCGUUCGCUUGUCCAGGCAUAAACCAGUGGAGACGGUGCUCUGCACUCUGUGAACUCUGAUUUCCUUGCUUGAUGUGUGACCUUGGACACUUGCCAGGGCCCUUCCUCCCCAGCAAGUGGCAGCUGGGGCUGUAAAUGGAACUGUGGCUACAAAGCUGAAGCCUCAUGGUUGUCUGGAAUAAGAAGUCCAUCGCUAGUCCUGUGGCAGCUCCGACUUCAGGCUACUGGGAGGUGAGGAAAGGAGAGACCUAGGAAGAUUGCACUUUCCUGACAACUUUGGCAGCUGGUAGCAGGGCCAGAGGGCUUCACCUGGUCAAGGAAAUGUGAGCAGACGUGAUUUAUCAUUUCCAGUUCUUUGCAGCCAAUCUCUUAACUCAAGCAAAGGCCCCACAGGCAAAAGUAUCCCAUGAUGCCAUCCAAAACUCCUUCCUCAAGCAACAGGGACUGCCAGCAAGAUUGCGCGUGACUGACCCCAAGACAAUGAUCCACCUGACUUUUACUGCCCACCUACACAUAGUCACCAAGCCCUGUCCUACAUUUUCUUUAUAUGAACCAAGAAGUAUUUUCAGCACUUUGGAGACCAUUUUUGAAGAAAUAUUAGUCUGCUGCUGUCUUCCUAGUGUUGGCCUCACUGAAAUAAAUCCCUUUCUUCUUUCA